GAGAGAACCUUGGCGCGCGAUUUGAUGACGUUGUCAACAAUAACACCGCAUCACCGGUCACUGCUAGAAUAGAUACGAUUUUGUAAAAGUGACGUAACAGUUCCGUUUGUGCCAAUCGAUUUGCAUCAGAUCUCGCAUCAUGAAAAAACUUGCAUUGGGAACUAAAAUAUGUCCCCAUGAUGGAACCCACUUCCUGGUGGUCGGGAGGAAAACCUAUGCCUGCCAAUUGGCUAAUGUUUAUAAAGAUGCACAAUAAAGUGUCUGGACUGUGCCUACCUGGACUGUGGCUGAGGACCCUGGGCAUGCCUACCCAUAGCCCCUCCCCACACUCCCUAGCAUGUUUGUCUCAGAACAGGAGGCCGGGGAGAAAAGCACAAAACCAAGAGGCUGAGAACAAGGUGAAACAAGGUAAGGAUAAUAUAUAAAAAAUGAACUUCAGUGGGAGUUAACACACACACAUCUAAAUAUACAUAACACAUCCAAACAUACAAAACACCACUCUAAAUAUAGCAGAUAAAACACAUCUAGGACUACACACUAACCAAUCAAACAAGGGUUAGGGAUGUAUCAACCAUUAUCAUAAUACUUACACCUAUGCAAAAAUCUCCAUAAGUGCAUAAUUUGCUACU
Oncorhynchus masou masou (cherry salmon) is the source of this 629-nucleotide long non-coding RNA. RefSeq lists it as uncharacterized. Lineage: Eukaryota; Metazoa; Chordata; Actinopteri; Salmoniformes; Salmonidae. The transcript has 4 exons. The record is from RefSeq and is a predicted model, not a curated record.